RNAcentral lists this ribosomal RNA (253 nucleotides) under uncultured bacterium. RNAcentral describes it as "partial 16S ribosomal RNA". It matches the Rfam family "Bacterial small subunit ribosomal RNA", at positions 524 to 776 of the family's 1533-position model. The record is from RNAcentral.
UACAGAGGGGGCGAGCGUUGUUCGGAAUUACUGGGCGUAAAGGGCGCGUAGGCGGCCUCUUAAGUCGAACGUGAAAUCCCCGGGCUCAACCCGGGAACUGCGUCCGAUACUGGGGGGCUUGAAUCCGGGAGAGGGAUGUGGAAUUCCAGGUGUAGCGGUGAAAUGCGUAGAUAUCGAGAGGAACACCUGCGGCGAAGGCGGGUUGCUGGGCCGACACUGACGCUGAUGCGCGAAAGCCAGGGGAGCGAACGGG